AUUCUGCCCAUGCGGGGAAGGAUGAGAAGCCUCGACCAAGGUUCGACUUGAGCGCCAGCGAGAGAGCGUUGCCGCAGGCAACGACCCGAAGGGCGAAGCGCGCAGCGCUGAGUAAUCCUUCCCCCACCACCA
This 132-nucleotide small RNA is filed under the name Escherichia coli. RNAcentral's name for it is "RtT sRNA". It matches the Rfam family "RtT RNA". Rfam says of the family: This family represents a bacterial cis-regulatory element known as RtT RNA. RNAcentral also lists the same sequence under 1 other name. The record is from RNAcentral. Lineage: Bacteria; Pseudomonadati; Pseudomonadota; Gammaproteobacteria; Enterobacterales; Enterobacteriaceae.